Molecule: long non-coding RNA, 338 nt
Filed under: Homo sapiens (human)
Lineage: Eukaryota; Metazoa; Chordata; Mammalia; Primates; Hominidae
Description: non-protein coding lnc-RPL24-2:4
Source: RNAcentral
UGAGAAAGUACCAUCAGGAGCAAUACGAGUCCUGUCCAUCUCUGAAAACAUGCUGCUGAUGUUGGAUUAAUAGUUAGACAAACAACUAAGAAGAUCAGAAGUAACAUGCUACUUUGGGUGUUGCAAAAUGACUGGACGCUACCUGUCAUCAAACCAUAGUUUACUCUCCACUUCAACAUAAAUCAAUAGCCUGCUUUUACCUCAAUGAUCAGUUGCUGCAGGGGAAAAAAGUAAGCUUCAAUUUAGACGCUGUCAAAUAUAUGGCCAACUUGCCACCUCUCUCUUCUCCUUGUUCCUGGAACAUGUUGCUAAUUGCUAUGGUGUUCCUGCCACACUCU